Molecule: long non-coding RNA, 2523 nt
Organism: Betta splendens (Siamese fighting fish)
Lineage: Eukaryota; Metazoa; Chordata; Actinopteri; Anabantiformes; Osphronemidae
Source: Ensembl
AACUCAAGAGAAAACAAGGUCCCACUCAUCGCAAGUUUAAAUGUAGACAGAGCAGAACGAGUCAAAGCUAAAGGACUUUUAUAAAGAAAACAUCUAGUUUUCUUUUAAUGCGACCAGCAGCAAACUGCUGAACCGUAUUGAUACUGGUGUUCAAAACUAUUCAAAACGUUCAGAUCUAGUUCUGAAGCAGGAAAUAAUUACAUCCAACGCACUUCUGGGGAACUAAAAGUGAAUAUGAAUCAAGCAAACAAAACGAAAGCACUUGUUGACUAACCGGUUUCCUGCGCGACACGCGCGUCCCGGGUUUCCGAGGAGUCCGUGAAGGCAUCGUUCUACCGCCGGGCUGCGUGCGCUGAGCUGGAGGGGCAGAACCUCGGCGGGCACGCAUAUAUGCGAUGCCACCGCCUGCUGCUUGCGUGCAGUUGUGGAUGCUUGACUGGAUGCGAGCGGGACUGGGAGGCACGCGUCCACUAGUUAGACAUGUGACUGAGCGCAGGGCUCCUGCUCAAUAAACUCACUGCGGCUUAUAUGUUGGAGUGUGACCAAAACUUUUCGUCUAUGUCUAAUUAAGGUCUGACAGCCCAGAGCAGCAGCCCAGCACCGGAGUCUUGGGCCGUAUUGGGAGCUGGUUCUCUCCAUGGAAGGGAAACGCUCCGAAGAGUCCGACUGACAAUGCCUCCGCGACUAGUGAGCGGCCUCUAAAUUCAGAUGGGGGAGACGAGAGUGAGGAGUCUGUAAAAGUCCGGGCUGGGGACCCGCACCGCGGGGAGGCGAAGGAACAGAGCUCUAGCCCGAGUCCGCUGGCUUUUGCCAGAGACAUUUUCCCCUGUGAAGAGCAGGACGCCACGCAGUCUAGCCACAAGCGCAGCUCUGUUGUGAGCAGCACAGAGGCAGAGCCAGGAGGUCCAAAAGAGGAGGAGUCGGUGGCCUGCGCGAGGAGGAGAAUAGGGCAAAACCAGGAGUGGGAGGAGAGCAGCAACGGUCCUUCAGCGAGCGGGAAUCCUGAGAAGAAUGCCAGUCAUCUGACACAUCUGCCUUCCUUGUCUAAACAGGGAGUGGCACAGGACUCUGACCAAGCACACGCCCAGGCUCAGGCUCAGACAGGCAGGAGGCUCCAUGUGUACCUUGAGGAGACCUGCGUGACUCACGGCGGUCCAGACACCUGUGCCGGGCAGGAAGUCGUCCGAACCGAAGUCACAAAGAACUUAAAAGCACUCACCAAAGCCAACUUGUCUCCGGGUUUUGAUUUGCAAACGAGUUCCGGCUCAACAUGUGCCGAGAACAAAAGGGCCGAUGUUAGCCACGCUGGCGGGGCACAGAGCUAUUACAGUGCGCUAACAGGAGUGUCGCUGAAAUCACAAAGAGACUCACAGUUAGACCCUGACGCUGAUACAGAGGAAGGAACAGGAGGAGACAGCAUGGGGCGCAGGAACUCAUCCAGGAGGAGACACAGAAAGGGCUCCCAAGGAGAUGGAGGGAACAGUCCUCGUGAGAAAACGCCUCCCAAUGCUCAACCUGGCGCAGAGGGAUUCCCCCCGGUGGCCAGCCCUCAGAGCAAGAGUCCAGAGGCUCACAUGGGGAAAUCACCCUUAAGCCCCGCCUCCCAGCAAGAGCCCGCCUCUCCGGCCUCACCUGAAGGAGUGGAAAGUGAGACUUCCUGUCCCGAUGCGUUCGAGCAGUUGGACAAGUUCCAGGCUGAAGUGGCUGCAGAGACUCAGGCGCGCGUGGUUCAUGGGGGCGCAGACAUGGAGGACAACGACAGGUUUUACAAGGUGGAAAGGAAGACGGAGACGCCAGAGUCCAAGCGCAGGAGUAUUAAGGUUUCCCGAAGCGAGGUGAAGCUUUUUACCAAAAAUGUGCCUUUGAAUUCUAAAAAAAGUCCGGUGGACAGGACACAGAAUUCGACGGCAGGAGGGAAUACCAGCAAUAAAGGAAAAGAUAGUGGGGAAACAGAUGCAAGGUGAGUGACCAGAACAUCCCACCUAAAGACCUUACUGGUCCCACAGUGCUGUAAAAUCAGAAAUGUGACUGCUGUAGGUGGAACAGGUUAGUGAAGCAGUGCUGUGAGUCACAACACAAAGUCCAACAGCAUGAUUCACAGGUUAGAACUGCAGGUCAGAUUAAAAUGUGGGUCAGAUACUGUAAAGACAACCCAGAGGCUUAAUUAACAGUCUGCUAUACUAUACAGUAUAGGUUGUCAUUUAGAGCAUCUUUUAAAUGAAAUAAUACUUUAAUCUCUUGUUGUACUCAGACUUCCUGCCCUGAAGAAGGUCGACGAGGAGCUUAAACCUAAACCGGCUGCUGGACGGAUCGCAGAUAAAAUCAGCCUCUUCGAGAAAAAGCAGGCAGCGGGAGGCCACAAGCCCAUCGUCCAGAGCCCCACAGUCACAGAGACCACGAAUGUGGGUUCAGACCAGGGGUCGAGAUCGGCAGAAGGUCACAGCACAGUCGGGCCCAGUUCUGCAUCGCCGGUGAGGGAGAAACUGGUGUCAGUCAAGGAGAACUUUACAGAAUCUCCCUCAG